UCGAGAAUCUUCCGCAAUGGGCGCAAGCCUGACGGAGCGAUGCCGCGUGAGGGAAGACUGCCUUCGGGUUGUAAACCUCUGUCACCCGGGACGAAAGAACUGACGGUACCGGGAGAGGAAGUCACGGCUAACUACGUGCCAGCAGCCGCGGUAACACGUAGGUGGCUAGCGUUAUUCGGAUUCACUGGGCGUAAAGGGUCCGCAGGGGGCCUGCCAAGUCUGUCGUGAAAUCCCGGGGCUCAACCCCGGGCCUGCGGUGGAGACUGGUGGGCUUGAGUGUGUGAAGGGCAGACGGAACACCUGGUGUAGCGGUGGAAUGCGUGGAUAUCAGGUGGAACACCGAUGGCGAAGGCGGUCUGCUUGCACACAACUGACCCUCAUGGACGAAAGCGUGGGUAGCAAACAGG
Molecule: ribosomal RNA, 407 nt
Filed under: uncultured bacterium
Lineage: Bacteria
Description: bacterial SSU rRNA
Rfam family: Bacterial small subunit ribosomal RNA
Source: RNAcentral